UUACUUCAUCAUCACUUGACUCUUCAUCAGAACCCCAUCUUCCUGUCAAUGCAGUCACAAGAUUUGCAGCUUCUUCUGUUUCACUUUCAUUAGACCAAGAGGCAGCAAGACUCCUCUUCUGUUUCUUGAGGUAGGUCCCACAUUCAGUUCUAAUGUGACCAUACCCAUCACAUUCAUAGCACUGAACUCCUUUUCCUUCUUUGGGAUUUUCU
RNAcentral lists this long non-coding RNA (212 nucleotides) under Lathyrus oleraceus (garden pea). Its description in RNAcentral is "Pisum sativum (pea) long non-coding RNA (PSAT_LNC036339)". The record is from RNAcentral. Lineage: Eukaryota; Viridiplantae; Streptophyta; Magnoliopsida; Fabales; Fabaceae.